Molecule: ribosomal RNA, 253 nt
Filed under: uncultured bacterium
Lineage: Bacteria
Description: partial 16S ribosomal RNA
Rfam family: Bacterial small subunit ribosomal RNA
Source: RNAcentral
UACGUAGGGUGCAAGCGUUGUCCGGAAUUACUGGGCGUAAAGCGCACGUAGGCGGUCAGGCAAGUCGGGUGUGAAAGCCCUGGGCUCAACCUGGGAAUUGCAUUCGAAACUAUCUGACUCGAGUAUGGGAGAGGGAAGCGGAAUUUCCGGUGUAGCGGUGAAAUGCGUAGAUAUCGGAAGGAACACCAGUGGCGAAGGCGGCUUCCUGGACUAAUACUGACGCUGAGGUGCGAAAGCGUGGGGAGCAAACAGG